GAUGAACGCUGGCGGCGUGCUUAAUACAUGCAAGUCGAGCGAACAGCCGUGGAACCUGCUUCCCAGCAGUUAGAGGCGGAAGGGUGAGUAAAACGUGGAUAAACUCUCUAUAAGACAGGGAUAAAUUAGGGAAACAGGAGCUAUAAUCGGACAUACUAUUGAACCGCAUGGUUCAAUAGUGAAAGAAGGUUUCGUCUAUACAUAUAGAUGCACUCGCGCCGCAUUAGCUAGUUGGUAAGGUAACGGCUUACCAAGGCAACGAUCCGUAGCCGACCUGAGAGAGGGAUCGGCCACACUGGAACUGGGACACGGUCCAGACUCCUACGGGAGGCGGCAGUAGGGAAUCUUCCGCAAUGAGCGAAAUCUUGACGGGGCAACGCCGCGUGAUGGAUGAGGGUCUUCGGAUCGUAAGACUCUGUUAUUAGGGAAGAACGAAUGUGUGAGAAUCGAUGCACGUCUUGACGGUACCGAAACAGAAAGCCACGGCUAACUACGUG
Molecule: ribosomal RNA, 497 nt
Filed under: uncultured bacterium
Lineage: Bacteria
Description: partial 16S ribosomal RNA
Rfam family: Bacterial small subunit ribosomal RNA
Source: RNAcentral